RNAcentral lists this ribosomal RNA (465 nucleotides) under uncultured bacterium. Its description in RNAcentral is "partial 16S ribosomal RNA". It matches the Rfam family "Bacterial small subunit ribosomal RNA", at positions 339 to 795 of the family's 1533-position model. The record is from RNAcentral.
CUACGGGUCGCACCAGUGGGGAAUAUUGGACAAUGGGGGAAACCCUGAUCCAGCAAUGCCGCGUGUGUGAGGAAGGCCUGCGGGUUGUAAAGCACUUUCGGUUGGGAGGACUGCUUCUAGCACUAAUAUUGUUGGAAGUUGACGUUACCUUCAGAAGAAGCACCGGCUAACUCCGUGCCAGCAGCCGCGGUAAUACGGAGGGUGCAUGCGUUAAUCGGAAUUACUGGGCGUAAAGCGCGCGUAGGCGGCUAGAUCAGUCGGGUGUGAAAGCCCCGGGCUUAACCUGGGAACUGCAUCCGAUACUGUCUAGCUUGAGUACAGGAGAGGAGAGUGGAAUUCCACAUGUAGCGGUGAAAUGCGUAGAUAUGUGGAGGAACACCAAUGGCGAAGGCAGCUCUCUGGCCUGAUACUGACGCUGAGGUGCGAAAGCGUGGGGAGCAAACAGGAUUAGAUACCCUUGUAGUC